CUACAUUCUUGUAGCCUGCAGCGUUCGGUUGGAACGUUUGAUCUAAGGGUUUCUCUGCAAACAGCUGGCUGUAUGCAGCUUUGCGACUGAUCCAGUCGGAGCCGCGGGCUUACUCGUUCUCCAGGAGCUGUGGCCGCUGCGCAGAAACUUCGACGGACACGUUGGUGUCAGCUUGACAAUUUGUAGUGGAGUGGAGGUGGUGACCCUCAGCCCACGUGUCAGUGUCUUCAAGGAGAGAUGGCCUGGUUUAUUCAAUGAGGCUCAGGUGAGAACGUUACGUUUAUUUGUUUCCAUUUCAACUCACUGUUGUGAGUAAUGAGUGUUGUCCCCUAUGCUCUUUAUUAGAUCAAGGAGGAGUUCCGACACAUAACAACUCUUUCACUGGAAGACUUUGAUGCUGAAACUGGAUGGGUACACUAACACCACUCGCUCCAGCUGAUGCGUGCCAAAGGAGGAGAUGCUGGCUCCAGGAUGCGCCCUCUUCUGAGCGCAAUUGAUGAGCCCCAGAGUGUUGGAAAAAAGGGAUGCAGUGGCCAGGUGCCUGAUUGAAGACCUUGGGGAUCGCCAAGAAGACCUUUUUCAAGACAGCCAGAUAUGUCGUUAAAGACUGAUCACUUCAAGAUUUUAACGGAGUUAUUUCGGAGGUUGCUCUGAUACCGUUGUUUAAUUUCUGUGAUUAACCACUCUUACACCUAACAAAUAAAUAUGCAAUUUAUUGCUGUAAAUCUGUAAACAUCUUAUUGUUUUUAUAAAUGGUUUAGCAUUCACAGGAAAAUGAUUUAGGGAUAAUGUACUGAUGUGCUUGCUACUUAACAUAUGAAACCUUCUUUUGGUGUUAAAGUGAAAUAAGAUAAAUAAAAUCAUUCACUGAAAAGUUAUGUUUAUGGGAAAGAAUCAAUUUAAUGUCAUUGAUUAGAUCGAUGGGCAAUUUGACUGGGCCUGACAUUUUUUAUAUAAGUUAGAAAUCUUUUUUUGUUUUUAAUCGCUGCCACACAUUUUUUCAAAUCAUUUAAAAAAAGUCAAUCCCUGGUUUUAUUGAUUAGGCUUAAUGCUAGACCACAAAGCCUAUAUUGUAUAAUAGCUUCUUGUUAAUAUGCCUAAUUUAAAGUGAAUAUGCUUUUCUUUCUUUCUUUUCAACAUGGAGGACGAGCAUGACAACGUCGUGGACCAAACUGUGAAGGUGCUUGUGAUCCAUGAUGCCAGGGACAGGGGACCAGCAGAUGUGUCUAUUGUCAUAGAGGGAGACAGAGUUUUGUGCGGAGACCAAACAAAGGCAUGCACAUUGUUGAUGGGAUUCAUCUACGCCAGGGGUGGGGAACCUUUUUCCUCUCAAGGGCCAUUUCAAUUUUUUCAACAUCCUCCGAGGGCCGUACAAAUUAUUGACCUCUGCUUAAAAAUCACAGCACAUUCAUUUGGCCUUUCUUUCAUGCUGUGCAAAGAAAAAGCAACCUCUUAAUCCAGA
Molecule: long non-coding RNA, 1462 nt
Organism: Gymnodraco acuticeps
Lineage: Eukaryota; Metazoa; Chordata; Actinopteri; Perciformes; Bathydraconidae
Exons: 3
Source: RefSeq, a predicted model, not a curated record